GUGCUCACUUUGGCAGCACAUAUACUAAAAUUGGAACGAUACAGAGAUUAGCAUGGCCCCUGCACAAGGAUGACACGCAAAUUUGUGAAGCGUUCCAUAUUUUU
RNAcentral lists this small nuclear RNA (104 nucleotides) under Dasypus novemcinctus (nine-banded armadillo). The record is from RNAcentral. Lineage: Eukaryota; Metazoa; Chordata; Mammalia; Cingulata; Dasypodidae.